AAUGUUUGGGUUUAGAACGAUAC
This 23-nucleotide small nuclear RNA is filed under the name Arabidopsis thaliana (thale cress). RNAcentral describes it as "snRNA_06750". The record is from RNAcentral. Lineage: Eukaryota; Viridiplantae; Streptophyta; Magnoliopsida; Brassicales; Brassicaceae.